Molecule: ribosomal RNA, 253 nt
Filed under: uncultured bacterium
Lineage: Bacteria
Description: partial 16S ribosomal RNA
Rfam family: Bacterial small subunit ribosomal RNA
Source: RNAcentral
UACGGAGGGGGCUAGAGUUGUUCGGAAUUACUGGGCGUAAAGCGCACGUAGGCGGUCUUUUAAGGCAGAGGUGAAAGCCCGGGGCUCAACUCCGGAAUUGCCUUUGAAACUGGAAGACUUGAACACGGGAGAGGUGAGUGGAAUUCCGAGUGUAGAGGUGAAAUUCGUAGAUAUUCGGAGGAACACCAGUGGCGAAGGCGGCUCACUGGACCGUUGUUGACGAUGAGGUGCGAAAGCGUGGGGAGCAAACAGG